This 253-nucleotide ribosomal RNA is filed under the name uncultured bacterium. RNAcentral describes it as "partial 16S ribosomal RNA". It matches the Rfam family "Bacterial small subunit ribosomal RNA", at positions 524 to 776 of the family's 1533-position model. The record is from RNAcentral.
AUCGUAGGAGCCAAGCGUUAUCCGAAUUCACUGGGCGUAAAGCGCGUGCAGGCGGCUGGGUAAGUUGGAUGUGAAAUCUCCUGGCUCAACUGGGAGAGGCCGUUCAAUACUACCUGGCUUGAGGGCGACAGAGGGGGGUGGAAUUCCGGGUGUAGUGGUGAAAUGCGUAGAUAUCCGGAGGAACACCAGAGGCGAAGGCGACCUCCUGGGUCGUACCUGACGCUGAGAUGCGAAAGCUAGGGGAGCAAACGGG